CCUACGGGGGACAGCAGUCGAGAAUCAUUCACAAUGGGGGAAACCCUGAUGGUGCGACGCCGCGUGGGGGAAUGAAGGUCUUCGGAUUGUAAACCCCUGUCAUGUGGGAGCAAAUUAAAAAGAUAGUACCACAAGAGGAAGAGACGGCUAACUCUGUGCCAGCAGCCGCGGUAAUACAGAGGUCUCAAGCGUUGUUCGGAAUCACUGGGCGGAAAGCGUGCGUAGGCUGUUUCGUAAGUCGUGUGUGAAAGGCGCGGGCUCAACCCGCGGACGGCACAUGAUACUGCGAGACUAGAGUAAUGGAGGGGGAACCGGAAUUCUAGGUGUAGCAGUGAAAUGCGUAGAUAUCGAGAGGAACACUCGUGGCGAAGGCGGGUUCCUGGACAUUAACUGACGCUGAGGCACGAAGGCCAGGGGAGCGAAAGGGAUUAGAUACCCUAGUAGUC
RNAcentral lists this ribosomal RNA (446 nucleotides) under uncultured bacterium. RNAcentral describes it as "partial 16S ribosomal RNA". It matches the Rfam family "Bacterial small subunit ribosomal RNA", at positions 338 to 795 of the family's 1533-position model. The record is from RNAcentral.